GAACCAAGAAAUCCAAAAAAAAAGCUUCUAACUUAUUUUUAAGCAGUGAAAUACUGUUUUUGGUUCU
This 67-nucleotide transfer RNA is filed under the name Trigonopterus selaruensis. Its description in RNAcentral is "tRNA-Ser". Lineage: Eukaryota; Metazoa; Arthropoda; Insecta; Coleoptera; Curculionidae. The record is from RNAcentral.